This 4507-nucleotide small RNA is filed under the name Pongo abelii (Sumatran orangutan). Its description in RNAcentral is "retained intron". The record is from RNAcentral. Lineage: Eukaryota; Metazoa; Chordata; Mammalia; Primates; Hominidae.
GGACUGUGGCCUCACCAUGGACCCGGAAUGCGCCCAGCUGCUCCCGGCUCUCUGUGCUGUUCUGGUAGAUCCCAGGCAGCCGGUGGCAGAUGACACCUGUUUGGAGAAGCUACUGGACUGGUUUAAAACGGUCACUGAAGGAGAGUCCAGUCUCGUGCUGCUGCAGGAGCACCCCUGCCUGGUGGAGCUGCUGUCCCAUGUGCUGAAAGUCCAGGACCUGAGUCCCGGGGUCCUCUCCUUCUCACUCCGUCUGGCAGGAACCUUCGCGGCCCAGGAAAACUGCUUCCAGUAUCUUCAGCAGGGGGAGUUGCUACCAGGGCUCUUUGGGGAGGCAGGACCCCUCAGCCGAGCAGCCUGGGCCGUCCCCACCGUGCGCAGCAGCUGGAUCCAGGGCCUGCGCUCCCUGGCACAGCACCCCAGCGCUCUGCGCUUCCUGGCCAACCACGGUGCGGUUGACACCAUCUUCUCCCUGCAGGGAGACUCCAGCCUGUUUGUGGCCUCGGCGGCCAGUCAGCUCCUGGUACACGUCCUGGCUUUGUCCAUGCAAGGUGGAGCCAAGGGGCAGCCCUGCCUGCCGGGGGGUGACUGGCCCGCGUGUGCCCAGAAGAUCAUGGAUCACGUUGAAGAGUCCUUGUGCUUCACGGCCACCCCCAAGGUCACUCAGGCCCUGAACGUCCUGACCACGACCUUCGGGCGCUGCCAGAACCCCUGGACGGAAGCCCUGUGGGUGCGGCUGAGUCCCCGCGUGGCCUGUCUGCUGGAGAGAGACCCCAUCCCCGCCGCACACUCGUUCGUGGACCUGCUUCUCUGUGUGGCUCGGUCAGGGCCCCGGGACGCAGCUGGGGGGCCUGGGUGGGCAAUUGUUUUCCAUCCCUGGGCAAAUGACUCCCAGGGAUGUCCCACUGGCAGCCAGAGACUCUCUGAGGACGUGGCCUGCAGUGAAGUGGCACCGGAGUGACCCUGGAACCCUCAUGGGGAAAGGCCUGUCUUGGGCUGGGCGCCUCCAGCGUGGGGGCCAUGGCAGUCUCAGCCAGGCCUCGGAUGGAGUUUUGCAGGUGGAGGAGUAAUUUUUCUCUCUGGGGUCUCCCUGCAGUUCUCCCGUGUUCAGUUCUUCUGACGGCGGCCUGUGGGAGACGGUGGCGCAGGCUCUGAGCUGCCUGGGCCCCACCCACGUGGGACCCCUGGCUUUGGGGAUCCUGAAGCUCGAGCACUGUCCACAGGCACUGAGGACCCAGGCCUUCCAGGUCCUUCUCCAGCCCCUGGCCUGUGUCCUGAAGGCCACGGUUCAGGCCCCCGGACCCCCAGGCUUGCUGGAUGGGACGGCAGACGAUGCCACGACGGUGGACACGCUCCUGGCCUCCAAGUCGUCCUGCGCGGGCCUCCUGUGCCGCACCCUGGCUCACCUGGAGGAGCUGCAGCCGCUGCCCCAGCGCCCUUCACCGUGGCCCCAGGCGUCCCUACUGGGAGCUACAGUGACUGUCCUGCGGCUCUGCGGCGGCUCAGCUGCCCCCGCCUCCCGUGUGGGGGGCCACCUGUGUGGGACCCUGGCGGGCUGCGUCCGGGUCCAGCGAGCAGCCCUCGACUUCCUGGGGACGCUGUCACAGGGGACAGGCCCCCAGGAGCUGGUGACGCAGGCGCUUGCUGUCCUCCUGGAGUGCCUCGAGAGCCCUGGCUCCAGCCCCACGGUAUGGCGGUGGGGAUAGGGAGCGAGGAGAGGAGGGAGGCAGAGGCAGUGGGACCCACCCCCGACUCCACCCCGGCCCCGUGCAGGCCUCCGCAGAUGGAGCCUUCACACAGGGCCACAGAGUUGCUGCUCAGAGAGCUUCACGAUGCAGGUGGCUGCAUGGGUCAGGCUCAGGGCCUCUUGUUGGUGAAGAUACAUCAGCACGCAGGGGUGUGUGGGGCCGUGGGGAGCAGGGGCACUGGCCAGGCGGCCUGCAGGGAAUUCUGGACAAGGGAAACGAGGUAGCACCAGGACGGCCCUGGGCGUGGGCUCCGGGUUCUUCUAAGCACCAUUUGUGAACGUGCCCACUCCACAGCCCCUCACGGAGCUGGGCCCUGGCAGGUACAGACCUUGCACCACCUGCCGCUGAGCAGACAGCAGACAACUUUGGAGGAAGGGCCCAGGGCUUCUUGGGAUCCUAAGGAAAAGGUGCCCUGCGUAAUUGCUCAUGUUUUGAUGUAGAAAUCCUGUUGCCUGGGUUGUGGGUCUUCUGGUGGGGGCUGCCGCCACCUCCUCCUCCUCACAGUCUGGGAAGCCAGUUCUGCAGCAGAUUCUGCCCUAUUAAAAUCAGCCCAGGAGGGGCGUGGGGCUCACAGCUGUGAUUACUGUGCGUUGGGGGGCCGAGGUGGGGGGAUCAAUGGAGCCCAGGACUUUGAGGCCAGCCUGGGCAACAUAGCAAGAUCCCAUCUCUACAAAAAAAUACAAAAAUUAGCCCCGGAGGUAUAGCUCAGGGGUAGAGCAUUUGACUGCAAAAAUUAGCCGGGCGUGGUGAUGUGUGCCUCUAGCCCCAGCUACUCAUGAGACUGAGGCAGGAGGAUUGUUUGAACCGGGGAGAUGGAGGCUGCAGUGAACUGUGAUUACAGUCCAGCCUGGGUGACACAGUGAGACCCUGUAAAGAAGGAAGCCCAGCGUUCUCUUCUCUCUUCCCUUCCUGUCCCCAUCUGUGUCCUUGGAGUAGGGGCAGCACAGGUGAAGGUGAGGGGGACAGACAGACAGCUUGCCCGUCCCCUCCCAUGGCCCUACAGCCCACCCUGUGUGCUCCAGGUUCUGAAGAAGGCCUUCCAGGCUACGCUCAGGUGGCUGCUGAGCUCACCCAAGACCCCCGGCUGCUCUGAUCUCGGCCCCCUCAUCCCGCAGUUCCUCAGAGAGCUGUUCCCUGUGCUGCAGAAACGCCUGUGCCACCCCUGCUGGGAGGUGAGGGACUCCGCCCUCGAGUUCCUGACCCAGCUGAGCAGGCACUGGGGAGGACAGGUCGGCUUCAGAUGCGCACUCUUGGCUUCAGAGGUGCCUGAGCUGGCCCGGCAGCUCCUCCAGGACCCUGAGAGUUAUGUCCGAGCGAGCGCGGUGACCGCCAUGGGGCAGCUGUCCAGCCAGGGCCUGCACGCCCCCACCAGCCCUGAGCAUGCAGAGGCCCGGCAGGUAGGAAGUGGUGGGUUCCUUGGCUGCCAGCCCCCAUGAGCCCUGAGCACGCAGAGGUCUGGCAGGUAGGAGAUGGCGGGUUCCUCAGCCACCACCUCCCGCCUGGCCAUCGUGUGUGCUCGUUUGCUUGCGGGUGGGCGAGCGGCCAGCAUCCAGCGUGGGAGCAGCUGCUGCUAUGGGCAGCGCCUGCAGGAGUGACUGCCGAGGCCCUGGGGCUCUGCUGGGUGUAGCACCUGUGCGCUUCGCCUUCUGUCUCCCCAGCACCCCUCCAGUUAGUCAUGGUGACCUCCAUUUGACAGAUGGGUAAACUGAGGAUUGGAGGGCAGUGUGCUCACCGCGCAGCAUGGGAAGGUGCCAGAGCGGGCUGUGGCCCUAGACUGCAUGUCCGGGGCCAGCCCCCAUGAUGUACCCGGGGUCCUGUUGUGGGAGCCUCGCUCCUGCUGCCCCACCAACCAUCUGCACCUGCUCCCUGUCCCCCAGAGCCUGUUCCUGGAGCUCCUGCGCAUCCUCUCCGUAGACUCGGAGGGCUUCCCACGGCGGGCGGUCAUGCAGGUCUUCACCGAGUGGCUGCGGGACGGCCACGCCGACGCGGCCCAGGACACGGAGCAGUUCGUGGCCACUGUGCUGCAGGUGGUGAGCCGGGACCUGGACUGGGAGGUCCGCGCCCAGGGCCUGGAGCUGGCACUGGUGUUCCUGGGCCAGACUUUGGGGCCGCCACGUACCCACUGCCCCUAUGCCAUGGCCCUACCCGAGGUGGCCCCAGCCCGGCCACUCACCGAGGCACUGAGGGCUCUCUGCCACGUGGGGCUCUUUGACUUCGCCUUUUGUGCCUUGUUUGACUGCGACCGCCCUGUGGCGCAGAAGUCUUGUGACCUUCUUCUCUUUCUGAGGGACAAGAUUGCUUCCUACAGCAGCCUGCGGGAGGCCGGGGGCGGCCCCAGCACCACCUCCAUGGAGGCCACCCUGCCAAGGUGGCGGGCGGGUGAGCAGGCCCAGCCCUCGGGAGACCAGGAGCCUGAGGCUGUGCUGGCCAUGCUCAGGUCCCUAGACCUGGAGGGCCUGCGGAGAACGCUGGCCGAGAGCAGCGACCACGUGGAGAAGAGUCCCCAGUCCCUCCUGCAGGACAUGCUGGCCACGGGAGGCUUCCUGCAGGGGGACGAGGCCGACUGCUACUGAGCAGAACCAGAGUCUGCCACUGGGGCUCAGGACUGAGGGAGGCAGCACCAUGUCCUUCUGUGGGACACUGCCAGCCCCAGGGCUCCAGCUCAGCCUGGUGGAUCCUCUGGGGAAGCCAGGACCAGGAGAGAAGCAAGGUCAAAAAAUCCAACAUUUUGAUGUAUUAAAGAAAUGACUUAUUUUCUACUC